RNAcentral lists this transfer RNA (74 nucleotides) under Vallitaleaceae bacterium. Its description in RNAcentral is "tRNA-Gly". It matches the Rfam family "tRNA". Rfam says of the family: Transfer RNA (tRNA) molecules are approximately 80 nucleotides in length. The record is from RNAcentral. Lineage: Bacteria; Bacillati; Bacillota; Clostridia; Lachnospirales; Vallitaleaceae.
GCGGGUGUAGUUCAUUGGUAGAACACCAGCCUUCCAAGCUGGUUAGGUGGGUUCGAUUCCCAUCACCCGCUCCA